GUUAUGACGCAGACGACACCAAGGACGCUGAACCCGAUUGUUCAUCAGAAAUGUUGCAUGGUACUGCUAUACAAACAUACACGGACAUUUGAAUUAAAACAUUGGAAAUGGCAUAAAAAUGAGCAGUCCAAGCUGAGGCGAAGUAUUUUAUGAGAAGAAGGUCGCUUUUCAACUUCAAAAAUGGGGACGACUUGUCUUGUGAACAGAACAGCCAACGCAACAAGAGGCAGAUAAUUUAUUUUGUGCCAAUCACUCUUCCAACAACUGAAAUUGGUUUGUCAAAUACGUUCGUUGGUGUAUGAUCAGAUCUGCAUUAUAGUAUUAGUAUUAAACAAACUGUAAAGAAAAGAAAAUGAUGUUUUAGAUGCUGUAGAAAAUUUUUGAAGGAUAUGUUUACUGAUUAUGAACAACAGGAUUAUAUCAUCAUGACCAUUGGAAUCUUACAAGGAGAAGUGCAAAUAAAUGAAGGAAUUCAUGUGCAAAAAUUAUAAUAUUGUAAACAGGAGAACAGUCUUAAAUAAUACCAACUGUUAAACAGUUUUGUGAACAAGAGUCCAAGAGCAAGGCAGAGUAAACUUGGAGU
Long non-coding RNA from Mytilus californianus (California mussel), 583 nucleotides. RefSeq lists it as uncharacterized. The transcript is spliced from 4 exons. The record is from RefSeq and is a predicted model, not a curated record. NCBI's taxonomy places the organism in Eukaryota, Metazoa, Mollusca, Bivalvia, Mytilida, Mytilidae.